GAGGCGUACGGCGCGAGGACACCCGAUCCAGCAGAAACAAAACAAGGUCACGUGGCCGUGCCCAUCUCUUCUAGCCGGAGGGGAAAAAUGGAAGUACUGUACAGUAAACCAGUCGAACCUGUGCUCACGUGACCGUCUCUUCAGAACGCGGAAGCAAAAAAGGGGGCGUGUUCGUGAGAGCAGGGACGUGACAUCGCGACAGCUAGACAAAGUCUGGAAACUCCGUUCCGAUUUUCUCUUCGCGGCUCCCCCAACCCUGUCCCUGUACAUUGAGGCUUGACGUGGGCGGAAACUAGAUUUAAGACGAAAUGGGAAUAAGAUAGAGGGCUGGGAGCCGUAAUAGUCCAAUAAAUGUGCCCGAAUUAAAGAACGCACGGUCUUUUCCAGGCUUACCUUGCGCUGAAUCCCUUUAAACUCACUGGGGCUUAAAGGCGUGUUGGACGAAGUUCACUUUCAAGAUUUUCAGCUGGCAGAGUUUGAACAGCCUCCCAUCUAAAUUUCAAGUUUGUGCUUUAAUGAUUGCAAUAUAAAAAGUAUUUGUCUUGUUAACCUGAUCCAUUAGGUUGCCAAAUCCAAAUGACUCCCAUUAGGCAUUCAAAAACUGGCCAAUUCACUGUCUGCACUCCGGCUGAGCUUGCUUCCCUCACUAUUUCUCAAAUGGAGUUGGCAUCUCUGGAGAAGCAGAUAUGCAGCAUGCUGGUGACAGAAUGUUCCAGAAAACACCAGGAUGUUCUAUUUUCUUCUGGCCUAUUCCAAAAGAAAAAGGGAAACCCCCAAUAUUCCCCAGAAUGUUCUCUCCCCAGAAUGACUUUUCAGAAGGGCUACUGUACUGCUGGCCUAGCAUGAUGCCACCAAAUGUGCAACCACACUCAGAAGGGCCUCUGCGUGAAAAUCUGUUGCUCUGCCACCAGGCUGCCAUGCCACUAUAACUGCAGUUCUGCAAAAAAGGCUUCUGAAUGAAGAUGUAUGACCACAAUGCUGUGUAACUGCUGUAGCCAGAUGUAUUUGUUUCUGUAUACAGGCAUGCCCCUGUAUUGUAUUUUCAUUUUUACCAUCUUCCUUCAUACCAUCACUUUUUUGAUUUGCAAAUUGACAAAUGGAGACUAAUACAAGCUCAGACGUAUAGGACGUAAAACUGCCAAUGGCAUUAAACACACUCAGCUAUUGCUUAACUUGAAGGUGAACAUGGACUGACACUCUUUGAAACUUCUAGCUCACAAAAAUACUAAAAUGUACAUGAUUUUAGAACUAUGAAUAUUAGCAUAAAUCAGAAGAGACCAAAAAGAGAAUGCAAAAGUAUUCUGAUUUCAUUUAAAUGUGAAUUGUAAAAACAGGAAAUACAGCAUAUGGUGAUUUAUAGUAAUGGUUGCUACUUGGAUUGCUAAAUAAAUUAACCUUGAUUUUGAGUAACUAAAUUCAUGCAAGACAAGGCUUUCAAUGGCUAUAUACUGCUUCAAAUAUUAAUUAUUUUAUAGCAUAAGUGGAAGGGUAUUAUUGAGUUCUUAACUCUCCUCUUUCCAGAGGCAUUUACCUGACUACAUGGGCUUUGAUCUGACCCAGCAAACCUUUUUUAAAAAAAUGCAAACACAUACAAUAUAAGCACACACUUGUUGCCUCUUUUCCUCCUGCUGCUGGUCCUCCAUUAAGCCCCAAGCACUUCCCCUUGCUCCUUCCAAAGCAUAUGCAAGCUUAAUAAUGUAACACAACGCACACAUUCUGCACUUCUUCCAUUAAGCCAUUUUUCCUGACUCGGUGUAAAUGUUCUUUGAUGGUGGGCCUAAGAUCUAAUGCAUAAUUGGACAAUUUUGAGUCCAUGUCUGCCUUUCGGAGUCAUUAACAGGGAAUUUCCCUUUGUGAAUUCACCUAACAAACUGAUUUUUCCCACCUUAAAAAGCAGUUUUGCACCAGAUCUCACAUAUCUUGCAACAGCUAUUCCUGAACAGGUAAGAAUAAAUAUUUCCACACCUGUGUGUGUGUGUAUAUACACACACGUACAUACAUGUAUGUAUGUAUGUAGCAUACUGUAUGUAUCACAGUGUGGAUACUUGCAGAAGCUACUAAAUGGGACCUAGCUCCUUCCUGGAUAAUUAGCCUGAUAGAUCAUUCACACAGCCCAAGAAAGCAACAAAAGCCUCAAUCUCCUUUGUAACUACUACUACAUACUUACUCACCUUGCCAGCCCUGACUGUUCACCAGUUAUGGUAUUUUAGGACCUAAAAAUAUGAGAUAUCAGACUCUACCUGAAUUUUAAUUAAUCAAAGUGGAUUUAAACUUUCACUUUUCUUUUCUGUGGUUCCUCUGAUU
Python bivittatus (Burmese python) is the source of this 2304-nucleotide long non-coding RNA. RefSeq lists it as uncharacterized. NCBI's taxonomy places the organism in Eukaryota, Metazoa, Chordata, Lepidosauria, Squamata, Pythonidae. The record is from RefSeq and is a predicted model, not a curated record.